ACUCAGUCAAGCUGAUCCUGACUGAGGCCCCCAAACCGGCUAAUUCUGCAUCUGGAAAGGCCUCGGGUUGUCUUGGAUUGGGCUCGAUUGAAUGGAAUUGCAUUGGCUAAGCUGAGCACUUCCCCAUGCAUCUCUGCAGAUCCAGCCUCAGAAGGAGCUCAAAACGGUGGCCAUGGAUGAAGUGUGAUUCCAGGUAGCAUCUGAAAAG
RNAcentral lists this long non-coding RNA (208 nucleotides) under Phascolarctos cinereus (koala). RNAcentral's name for it is "lncRNA (ENSPCIG00000003616.2)". Lineage: Eukaryota; Metazoa; Chordata; Mammalia; Diprotodontia; Phascolarctidae. The record is from RNAcentral.